Hydra vulgaris (swiftwater hydra) is the source of this 535-nucleotide long non-coding RNA. RefSeq lists it as uncharacterized. Lineage: Eukaryota; Metazoa; Cnidaria; Hydrozoa; Anthoathecata; Hydridae. The record is from RefSeq and is a predicted model, not a curated record.
UUGUAGGUGUCACAUUGUAGGUUUAAAUUGGUUGUAGAAUUUAUAUUGUAACUUGCAUACUUAUUUAGUUGAGUUUAAUCUAAGUGUAUAUUUGAUGUGUUUGUAUUAUUUUAGAAUUUACUGUUUUAGACACGUGGCAUGUGGUAUCCCACUAAUUAGCUAUUUUAAACAUGUGACAAGUGGUAUGACACUGUAAGUUUAAAUAAGUUGUAAAAUUAAUUUUUUUAUAUAGUUGCUUGCAUUUUUUUUGGUCUGCAUAUUUAAUCUUGUUUUGAUUUAUCAUAGUUUUUAAAAGGUUAGAGACCUUAUUUUUUGCUCCUGAUAGGUAUUGAUGUAUGUGAAAUGUAUGUGAGUCUUUCAGUUAUCAGAUAACGUCAAGGAGUUGACAGCAUGGUGUUCGAUUUAAAGUGCAAACCUGUGUACGAGUAACAACAGUAUUCAAAACCAAAACCUAUUUAAACCAACCAAACCAAAACUAGCGACCAAAAACUAAUAUCUUGGCAUCGAUUUAUUUUAAACAUCUAUUAUAUAUAUG